UUCCAGCUCCAAUAGCGUAUAUUAAAGUUGUUGCAGUUAAAAAGCUCGUAGUUGGAUUUCUGGCGAGGCUUGGUCGGUCGGCGCUUAGCGUGUGAACCGUGUCGAGCCUUGCCAUCCUGAGGAAGAACCUUGUUGGCAUUAAGUUGUCGACUUGGGUACUCCUCUCGUUUACUGUGAAAAAAUUAGAGUGUUCAAAGCAGGCUUAUGCCGUUGAAUAGUCCAGCAUGGAAUAAUAAGAUAGGACCUCGGUGCUAUUUUGUUGGUUUGCGCACCAAGGUAAUGAUUAAUAGGGACAGUUGGGGGUAUUCGUAUUCUGCAGUCAGAGGUGAAAUUCUUGGAUUUACGGACGACGAACUACUGCGAAAGCAUUUACCAAGGAUGUUUUCAUCA
This 390-nucleotide ribosomal RNA is filed under the name Bacillariophyta sp. RNAcentral's name for it is "partial small subunit ribosomal RNA". It matches the Rfam family "Eukaryotic small subunit ribosomal RNA", at positions 583 to 975 of the family's 1831-position model. The record is from RNAcentral. Lineage: Eukaryota; Bacillariophyta.